AGAGUGUGUGAGAGUGAUAUUCUCAAUUCCCGAAGUGUACGUGCUAAGAAUUUUAAGGCACCUUUGAGAGAAAACAAUGAAGAAAUGCGGCGUCCAUUUGUCACCGACACCAAUGAGUAUCUCCUGAAUUUGACGGAUGUCACUGGCAGGCCUUUGUGGUGCAUGCCUCGAAAACGUCAAUUAUGGGUUUUUUUGAAUUACUUGCUAUCAAAUAAAUGUAGUCAAGAUCAUCUGGAAAUUUUCUUCUGCUCAGUGCGAUCGAGAAACGGGUGGAACAAUAACCCUACUCCUCUACAAUUUUGUAAAACUUUUAAAAGAUUGCUUCUAUUUCUAAACAUAACGGGAGAAGGAGGAAAUUGUAAAGUGCUUUGCACCACCUGUAUGCUCUCUGUUAGCAGUGGCCCAAAGCAAAAGAGCACAGAUGUUCAACAAUCGGUUGACGUGUUUGUCUUGAAAAAAUAUGGUCUCGAUAUUUUGACUGAAGCACUUGCAGAUCAUGACUACGGCUGUCUGCCUAAUAUAUUGGUGGCUAUGUUGUCAAAAUGGUGCUGAAGACGUUUAAAUGCACAGACUGCAUUUCUUCUUGCAUUAAAACACGAGGAAACGACUUACAGAUUAUUGGGCAAAAAAACAUGGGUGGGCUUAUUAAACCUUCUGCUAGGAUUGUAAAGAUUUGUUGUUACUGUAAGUUGCAAAUACGAAAAAUUUUUCAAGCGAUAAAAGCAUUCUUUUUCCUCAUUUAGAGGACCACGCACUCGAGACGGCGGUCAUCGAUGAAGGCCAUUUAUAUAUUCUAAUUAAACAAAUAAUUAAUGCCUACAUGCAACACGCAAUUUUAUUAAGGAUUUUGUGUCUGCGCAAGUCGAAGCGCAUUCUCCCUCUCCAUAUCUCUGUAUUUCCCCCACGAACCUGUGCAGCUGCUGCCAUUCUUCAGAGCAUCUCAUGAAAUAUAUUGUUUAUUUAU
Molecule: long non-coding RNA, 964 nt
Organism: Zophobas morio
Lineage: Eukaryota; Metazoa; Arthropoda; Insecta; Coleoptera; Tenebrionidae
Exons: 3
Source: RefSeq, a predicted model, not a curated record